UACGUAGGUGGCAAGCGUUGUCCGGAUUUACUGGGCGUAAAGAGUAUGUAGGCGGACAUUUAAGUAGAAAGUGAAAGGUUGGAGCUCAACUCCGACACUGCUUCCUAUACUGGGUGUCUUGAGUGCCGGAGAGGAAAGCGGAACGACACGUGUAGCGGUGAAAUGCGUUGAUAUGUGUCGGAACACCAAUGGCGAAGGCAGCUUUCUGGACGGAGCCGCAAGGCUUAAAACUGACGCUGAGAUACGAAAGCCGAGGGAGCGAACAGG
Molecule: ribosomal RNA, 267 nt
Filed under: uncultured bacterium
Lineage: Bacteria
Description: partial 16S ribosomal RNA
Rfam family: Bacterial small subunit ribosomal RNA
Source: RNAcentral